This 503-nucleotide ribosomal RNA is filed under the name uncultured bacterium. Its description in RNAcentral is "partial 16S ribosomal RNA". It matches the Rfam family "Bacterial small subunit ribosomal RNA", at positions 30 to 523 of the family's 1533-position model. The record is from RNAcentral.
AUUGAACGCUGGCGGCAGGCUUAACACAUGCAAGUCGAGCGGGGUGAUGGUGCUUGCACUAUCACUUAGCGGCGGACGGGUGAGUAAUGCUUAGGAAUCUGCCUAUUAGUGGGGGACAACAUCUCGAAAGGGAUGCUAAUACCGCAUACGUCCUACGGGAGAAAGCAGGGGAUCACUUGUGACCUUGCGCUAAUAGGUGAGCCUAAGUCGGAUUAGCUAGUUGGUGGGGUAAAGGCCUACCAAGGCGACGAUCUGUAGCGGGUCUGAGAGGAUGAUCCGCCACACUGGGACUGAGACACGGCCCAGACUCCUACGGGAGGCAGCAGUGGGGAAUAUUGGACAAUGGGGGGAACCCUGAUCCAGCCACGCCGCGUGUGUGAAGAAGGCCUUAUGGUUGUAAAGCACUUUAAGCGAGGAGGAGGCUCUUUUGGUUAAUACCCAGAAUGAGUGGACGUUACUCGCAGAAUAAGCACCGGCUAACUCUGUGCCAGCCGCCGCCGUAA